UACGAGGGGGGCGAGCGUUGUUCGGAAUUAUUGGGCGUAAAGGGUGCGUAGGCGGUUUGGUAAGUCUGAUGUGAAAUCUAUGGGCUCAACUCAUAGUCUGCAUCGGAAACUGCCGGGCUUGAGUAUGGGAGAGGUGAGUGGAAUUCCUGGUGUAGCGGUGAAAUGCGUAGAUAUCAGGAGGAACACCUGUGGCGAAAGCGGCUCACUGGACCAUAACUGACGCUGAUGCACGAAAGCUAGGGGAGCAAACGGG
This 253-nucleotide ribosomal RNA is filed under the name uncultured bacterium. RNAcentral's name for it is "partial 16S ribosomal RNA". It matches the Rfam family "Bacterial small subunit ribosomal RNA", at positions 524 to 776 of the family's 1533-position model. The record is from RNAcentral.